Molecule: ribosomal RNA, 88 nt
Filed under: uncultured fungus
Lineage: Eukaryota; Fungi
Description: partial 5.8S ribosomal RNA
Rfam family: 5.8S ribosomal RNA
About the family: 5.8S ribosomal RNA (5.8S rRNA) is a component of the large subunit of the eukaryotic ribosome. It is transcribed by RNA polymerase I as part of the 45S precursor that also contains 18S and 28S rRNA. Functionally, it is thought that 5.8S rRNA may be involved in ribosome translocation.
Source: RNAcentral
AAUUGCAGAAUUCAGUGAAUCAUCGAAUCUUUGAACGCACCUUGCACCCUUUGGUAUUCCGAAGGGUACACCCGGUUUGAGUGUCAUU